GUUAUAUGGUCAAGUGAAGAAGCGCAUACGGUGGAUGCCUUGGCAGUCAGAGGCGAUGAAAGACGUGGUAGCCUGCGAAAAGCUUCGGGGAGUCGGCAAACAGACUGUGAUCCGGAGAUAUCUGAAUGGGGGAACCCAGCCAUCAUAAGAUGGUUAUCUUGUACUGAAUACAUAGGUGCAAGAGGCGAACCAGGGGAACUGAAACAUCUAAGUACCCUGAGGAAAAGAAAUCAACCGAGAUUCCCUUAGUAGUGGCGAGCGAACGGGGACCAGCCCUUAAGUUGUAUUGAGAUUAGCGGAACGUUCUGGAAAGGACGGCCAUAGUGGGUGAUAGCCCUGUACGCGAAAAUCCCUUUGCAAUGAAAUCGAGUAGGACGGGGCACGAGAAACCUUGUCUGAAUAUGGGGGGACCAUCCUCCAAGGCUAAAUACUACUGACUGACCGAUAGUGAACCAGUACCGUGAGGGAAAGGCGAAAAGAACCGCGGAGAGCGGAGUGAAAUAGAUCCUGAAACCGUAUGCGUACAAGCAGUGGGAGCCCACUUUGCUGGGUGACUGCGUACCUUUUGUAUAAUGGGUCAGCGACUUAUUUUCAGUGGCGAGCUUAACCGAAUAGGGGAGGCGUAGCGAAAGCGAGUCUUAAUAGGGCGUCUAGUCGCUGGGAAUAGACCCGAAACCGGGCGAUCUAUCCAUGGGCAGGUUGAAGGUUGGGUAACACUAACUGGAGGACCGAACCGACUACCGUUGAAAAGUUAGCGGAUGACCUGUGGAUCGGAGUGAAAGGCUAAUCAAGCUCGGAGAUAGCUGGUUCUCCUCGAAAGCUAUUUAGGUAGCGCCUCAUGUAUCACUGUAGGGGGUAGAGCACUGUUUCGGCUAGGGGGUCAUCCCGACUUACCAAACCGAUGCAAACUCCGAAUACCUACAAGUGCCGAGCAUGGGAGACACACGGCGGGUGCUAACGUCCGUCGUGAAAAGGGAAACAACCCAGACCGUCAGCUAAGGUCCCAAAGUCAUGGUUAAGUGGGAAACGAUGUGGGAAGGCUUAGACAGCUAGGAGGUUGGCUUAGAAGCAGCCACCCUUUAAAGAAAGCGUAAUAGCUCACUAGUCGAGUCGGCCUGCGCGGAAGAUGUAACGGGGCUCAAACCAUGCACCGAAGCUACGGGUAUCAUCUUAUGAUGAUGCGGUAGAGGAGCGUUCUGUAAGCCUGUGAAGGUGAGUUGAGAAGCUUGCUGGAGGUAUCAGAAGUGCGAAUGCUGACAUGAGUAACGACAAUGGGUGUGAAAAACACCCACGCCGAAAGACCAAGGUUUCCUGCGCAACGUUAAUCGACGCAGGGUUAGUCGGUCCCUAAGGCGAGGCUGAAAAGCGUAGUCGAUGGAAAACAGGUUAAUAUUCCUGUACUUCUGGUUAUUGCGAUGGAGGGACGGAGAAGGCUAGGCCAGCCUGGCGUUGGUUGUCCAGGUUUAAGGUGGUAGGCUGAGAUCUUAGGUAAAUCCGGGAUCUUAAGGCCGAGAGCUGAUGACGAGUGUUCUUUUAGAACACGAAGUGGUUGAUGCCAUGCUUCCAAGAAAAGCUUCUAAGCUUCAGGUAACCAGGAACCGUACCCCAAACCGACACAGGUGGUUGGGUAGAGAAUACCAAGGCGCUUGAGAGAACUCGGGUGAAGGAACUAGGCAAAAUGGCACCGUAACUUCGGGAGAAGGUGCGCCGGUGGAGGUGAAGCAUUUACUGCGUAAGCCCCUGCCGGUCGAAGAUACCAGGCCGCUGCGACUGUUUAUUAAAAACACAGCACUCUGCAAACACGAAAGUGGACGUAUAGGGUGUGACGCCUGCCCGGUGCCGGAAGGUUAAUUGAUGGGGUUAGCGCAAGCGAAGCUCUUGAUCGAAGCCCCGGUAAACGGCGGCCGUAACUAUAACGGUCCUAAGGUAGCGAAAUUCCUUGUCGGGUAAGUUCCGACCUGCACGAAUGGCGUAACGAUGGCGGCGCUGUCUCCACCCGAGACUCAGUGAAAUUGAAAUCGCUGUGAAGAUGCAGUGUAUCCGCGGCUAGACGGAAAGACCCCGUGAACCUUUACUAUAGCUUUGCACUGGACUUUGAAUUUGCUUGUGUAGGAUAGGUGGGAGGCUUUGAAGCGUGGACGCCAGUCUGCGUGGAGCCAACCUUGAAAUACCACCCUGGCAACUUUGAGGUUCUAACUCAGGUCCGUUAUCCGGAUCGAGGACAGUGUAUGGUGGGUAGUUUGACUGGGGCGGUCUCCUCCUAAAGAGUAACGGAGGAGUACGAAGGUGCGCUCAGACCGGUCGGAAAUCGGUCGUAGAGUAUAAAGGCAAAAGCGCGCUUGACUGCGAGACAGACACGUCGAGCAGGUACGAAAGUAGGUCUUAGUGAUCCGGUGGUUCUGUAUGGAAGGGCCAUCGCUCAACGGAUAAAAGGUACUCCGGGGAUAACAGGCUGAUACCGCCCAAGAGUUCAUAUCGACGGCGGUGUUUGGCACCUCGAUGUCGGCUCAUCACAUCCUGGGGCUGAAGCCGGUCCCAAGGGUAUGGCUGUUCGCCAUUUAAAGUGGUACGCGAGCUGGGUUUAGAACGUCGUGAGACAGUUCGGUCCCUAUCUGCCGUGGACGUUUGAGAUUUGAGAGGGGCUGCUCCUAGUACGAGAGGACCGGAGUGGACGAACCUCUGGUGUUCCGGUUGUCACGCCAGUGGCAUUGCCGGGUAGCUAUGUUCGGAAAAGAUAACCGCUGAAAGCAUCUAAGCGGGAAACUUGCCUCAAGAUGAGAUCUCACUGGAACCUUGAGUUCCCUGAAGGGCCGUCGAAGACUACGACGUUGAUAGGUUGGGUGUGUAAGCGCUGUGAGGCGUUGAGCUAACCAAUACUAAUUGCCCGUGAGGCUUGACCAUAUAACACCCAAGCAAUU
RNAcentral lists this ribosomal RNA (2918 nucleotides) under Pseudomonas syringae pv. pisi. RNAcentral describes it as "bacterial LSU rRNA". It matches the Rfam family "Bacterial large subunit ribosomal RNA". Lineage: Bacteria; Pseudomonadati; Pseudomonadota; Gammaproteobacteria; Pseudomonadales; Pseudomonadaceae. The record is from RNAcentral.